AGCCACAGCCAUAUCACCCUGCAGCCAAAGACUAGUUGCUCACUGAAACUAAGCAGGGUUGAGCCUGGGCAGUACCUGGGUGGGAGACCUCCUGGGAAAACUAGGUUGCUGUUGGAA
This is a ribosomal RNA of Sinocyclocheilus grahami, 117 nucleotides long. The record is from Ensembl. NCBI's taxonomy places the organism in Eukaryota, Metazoa, Chordata, Actinopteri, Cypriniformes, Cyprinidae.